AUUUACGUAUAUACAUAUGUUUCUUGCUUAAUGGUUCAAAAUAAUUCGUGCAGCGUUUAUUUAAGAGUAUAUAUCCUGAGUUACCACUCUUUUUUCAGAUGCCAUUCCCUACUAAUUAUUUGAACCCAAUAAUGCAUUGAAAUAGAUCUGCAAGUGAGGAAAUUGAACCGAUAAUAAUGCAUGAAUGAUGAAGGGGGACUGGGAUGGCAAAGAGACAAGUGGCAAGAGAAAAUACAUGUACAACCAAAUAGUUACU
This 256-nucleotide long non-coding RNA is filed under the name Musa acuminata (dwarf banana). RNAcentral describes it as "long non-coding RNA (MACU_LNC008542)". The record is from RNAcentral. Lineage: Eukaryota; Viridiplantae; Streptophyta; Magnoliopsida; Zingiberales; Musaceae.